CCUACGUGUGGCAGCAGUGGGGAAUAUUGGGCAAUGGGCGCAAGCCUGACCCAGCAACGCCGCGUGAAGGAAGAAGGCCCUCGGGUUGUAAACUUCUUUUAUCAAGGACGAAACAAAUGACGGUACUUGAUGAAUAAGCCACGGCUAACUACGUGCCAGCAGCCGCGGUAAUACGUAGGUGGCAAGCGUUAGCCGGAUUUACUGGGUGUAAAGGGCGUGUAGGCGGGACUGCAAGUCAGAUGUGAAAACCAUGGGCUCAACCCAUGGGCUGCAUUUGUAUCUGUAGUUCUUGAGUGUUGGAGAGGCAGGCGGAAUUCCGUGUGUAGCGGUGAAGUGCGUAGAUAAACGGAGGAACAACAGUGGCGAAGGCGGCCUGCUGGACAAUAACUGACGCUGAGGGGCGAAAGCGUGGGGAGCGAACAGGAGUAGAUGCACUUGUAGUC
This 443-nucleotide ribosomal RNA is filed under the name uncultured bacterium. RNAcentral describes it as "partial 16S ribosomal RNA". It matches the Rfam family "Bacterial small subunit ribosomal RNA", at positions 338 to 795 of the family's 1533-position model. The record is from RNAcentral.